RNAcentral lists this long non-coding RNA (258 nucleotides) under Homo sapiens (human). Its description in RNAcentral is "HSALNT0047241". Lineage: Eukaryota; Metazoa; Chordata; Mammalia; Primates; Hominidae. The record is from RNAcentral.
GGGAGGUGAGGAAGUGGAGAGAGCAGCUGUGGUGGCUGAAGGGUGCUAGGACAGAGGGAGCAUGAUAAAGCCAUAAUCUGACUACCACCCAACCUUGAGGCACAGUGAAGACAUCGGUGGCCACUCCAAUAACAGCAGUCACAGCUGCUCUUCUGGAGGUGUCCUACAGGUGAAAAGCCCAGCGACCCAUCAGGAUUUAAGUUUACCUCAAAAAUGGAAGAUUUUAACAUGGAGAGUGACAGCUUUGAAGAUUUCUGG